UUUUUUUUUUUUUCCCGGGGAGUCGGCCUCGGGGCUCUGCUCUCCUACCUCAGUCUGCCCUACCCUGGAAUGGGGAAAAUGCGGACAUGCCACUCAGUCCGGCCGCGAACAGUGCUCCAGAACUCAGAGAGUUUUCCAGACGGGUGGAGAUCGCGUUCCCUGCCCGCCGAGGUCCCAUCGCUUCCCUGCUGGGAAGACAAAUGAGGCGCUUUAGCCGUCUCCACGGCCAGCCCCUCCCUCAUAACCCGAGAUUCUUUGUGGGCUCUUAGUCCAUAGCUGCCUUUGAGGUGGUGUAGACCUUGCUAACCAGGACGGCCCAGUAGGCAGAGCUCAUUUUUAUUCCUGUCUGCAAUCGUGCAAAAACGCCUCUUAUGGAAAAGCCAGAGCGCCAGGAGUCAGCAAAACACACUAAAGAUUGGGCAGUCACUGGGGAGAACACUCAGCCCGCCUGCACCCAGGUGAAAUAUACAGCCUUGUUGCUCACACAAAGCCUGUUUGGUGGUUUCUUCACACGGAUGCAUGUGACAUUUGGUGCUGAAGACCCAGGACAGGAGGACUCCUUUGGGAGACCAGUGCCCUGUUGUCGCCCUCACUCCGUGAGGAGAUCCACCUAUGAUCUCAGGUCCUCAGACCAACCAGCCCAAGGAACAUCUUGCCAAUUUCAAAUCGGAUUUGUUUCUGCAGAUAAUGAAUGAUCCUUGGCUAUCUGUUUAUGUAUAACAAUGCGGCACCAAAAAGCCAGCUGGAGGCUCUGCACAUGUGGUUGUCAGAAUCUGCAGAGAAGCUUCCUCCAAUCUCCAGCCUGAGAGUUCAGGCCUGGUUACCAGCAUUCUAGAAGCUGAAAGAGGAGAAGUUCUUGGAAGACUAAGAAGUCCAACAUUCGGUAUACAAAUAUUAGUCUUUAGCCUUUGCUCUUUUUUUCUAUAAUACCGUGUAGUUUCUGUCUCCUGAAUGGACCCAGACUGAUGCUAUAACUCAGCCUUUAACUGAUUCUGGUAUUCCCCAGUCAAGAGAUCCUUGAUUUCACUCUUUCUGAUGAAUCGACCUCCAGUGUUUUACCUGGAGUCAGGAGAACUAACAAUUUCUUCAACAAUUAUUCUAUUCUUAGCCAUACCUUCCCCUUUCUCCUCCCCUUCCAAAGGUAGCUGGGGCCACCAAAUCUUGAACCUUUGUGGGUUCUUUGGUGUAAACUACUUUGCUUUUGGCUACCCCCGCUGCCUGCUGAAGCUUCAGCUUUCCAGGUUCUACUAAGACAGCUAUUACUCAUAAUCUGUUUUCCACCUUCCAAAAUUUUAUUGUGGUCUCUUCCCCAUUCUUUUGUCCUUGUGGGAUUAUACCUCUCAAAAACCCUUUACUGUUAUUUUACUAUAGUUUGGGGAGGGAGCAAAUGCAUGUGUUCAAAAUGUCUUCUUUAUCCUGAAUCUCUCUCUCAGAACCUAUUUAUCCUGCACAUAUUUACUGGGUGCCUCAUCAGGGUAGGUACUAUUCAAAUAUUUGGAUACAUUAGGGAACAGAAUAGAAUAUCCUUACACUUGUGGGGUUUACAUUCUAGUGUGUGUACGCACAACAGAGGAACAGAUUAUAAAAAUUAAAUCUAAGUAUGUAGAUUAAAAAAAAA
Long non-coding RNA from Homo sapiens (human), 1618 nucleotides. Ensembl annotates it as oligodendrocyte maturation-associated long intergenic non-coding RNA. Its record names the gene OLMALINC. The record is from Ensembl. NCBI's taxonomy places the organism in Eukaryota, Metazoa, Chordata, Mammalia, Primates, Hominidae.